This 274-nucleotide ribosomal RNA is filed under the name uncultured bacterium. RNAcentral describes it as "partial 16S ribosomal RNA". It matches the Rfam family "Bacterial small subunit ribosomal RNA", at positions 523 to 796 of the family's 1533-position model. The record is from RNAcentral.
CUACGGAGGGUGCAAGCGUUACUCGGAAUCACUGGGCGUAAAGCGCGCGCAGGCGGCUAUUUAAGUUGGAUGUGAAAGCCUACGGCUCAACCGUAGAACUGCAUCCAAAACUAUUUAGCUAGAGUGUGGGAGAGGAAGAUGGAAUUAGUUGUGUAGGGGUAAAAUCCGUAGAGAUAACUAGGAAUACCAAAAGCGAAGGCAAUCUUCUGGAACACUACUGACGCUGAGGCGCGAAAGCGUGGGGAGCAAACGGGAUUAGAUACCCUAGUAGUCC